This 372-nucleotide ribosomal RNA is filed under the name Palpitomonas bilix. RNAcentral describes it as "partial Bacterial large subunit ribosomal RNA". It matches the Rfam family "Bacterial large subunit ribosomal RNA", at positions 188 to 617 of the family's 2925-position model. The record is from RNAcentral.
GGGAACUGAAACAUCUAAGUACCCGGAGGAAAGGAAAUCAAUAGAUACUCCCUUAGUAGCGGCGAGCGAACGGGGACCAGCCGAGCUGUGAAUGUGACUAGAAUCCGUUGGAAAGCGGAGCAAUAUGGGUGACAGCCCCGUAUAGGAAGCAUGAUCAGACGUAUUAAGUAGGGCGGAACACGUGAAAUUCUGUCUGAACAUCGGAGGACCACCUUCGAAGGCUAAGUACUCCUUACUGACCGAUAGCGAACCAGUACCGUGAGGGAAAGGUGAAAAGCACCCCGACGAGGGGAGUGAAACAGUUUCUGAAACCGGACGCCUACAAACAGUCGGAGGGAUCUUGUAUCCUGACGGCGUACCUUUUGUAUAAUG